UCGAACGAGCGAGAGAGAGCUUGCUUUCUCGAGCGAGCGGCGAACGGGUGCGUAUACGCGUGAGGAACCUGCCUCAAAGAGGGGGACAACAGUUGGAAACGACUGCUAAUACCGCAUAAGCCCACGACCCGGCAUCGGGUAGAGGGAAAAGGAGCAAUCCGCUUUGAGAUGGCCUCGCGUCCGAUUAGCUAGUUGGUGAGGUAAUGGCCCACCAAGGCGACGAUCGGUAGCCGGACUGAGAGGUUGAACGGCCACAUUGGGACUGAGACACGGCCCAGACUCCUACGGGAGGCAGCAGUGGGGAAUAUUGCACAAUGGGGGAAACCCUGAUGCAGCGACGCCGCGUGGAGGAAGAAGGUCUUCGGAUUGUAAACUCCUGUUGUUGAGGAAGAUAAUGACGGUACUCAACAAGGAAGUGACGGCUAACUACGUGCCAGCAGCCGCGGUAAAACGUAGGUCACAAGCGUUGUCCGGAAUUACUGGGUGUAAAGGGAGCGCAGGCGGGAAGGCAAGUUGGAAGUGAAAUCCAUGGGCUCAACCCAUGAACUGCUUUCAAAACUGUUUUUCUUGAGUAGUGCAGAGGUAGGCGGAAUUCCCGGUGUAGCGGUGGAAUGCGUAGAUAUCGGGAGGAACACCAGUGGCGAAGGCGGCCUACUGGGCACCAACUGACGCUGAGGCUCGAAAGUGUGGGUAGCAAACAGGAUUAGAUACCCUGGUAGUCCACACUGUAAACGAUGAUUACUAGGUGUUGGAGGAUUGACCCCUUCAGUGCCGC
RNAcentral lists this ribosomal RNA (775 nucleotides) under uncultured bacterium. Its description in RNAcentral is "bacterial SSU rRNA". It matches the Rfam family "Bacterial small subunit ribosomal RNA", at positions 62 to 849 of the family's 1533-position model. The record is from RNAcentral.